GGUGGGGAAUCUCAGGCCCAGGAGGCCACUAUGUGAGGAAAAGCCUCCUGAUCGCAAUUUUCUGUGGAAUCUGAGGGUGAAUGGAAGGUAGAGGACCGUAUUCUGGAAGAGGAUUGAACAGACUACUGAGUUCUUAAGAGAAAAAUGGCACUUAAGAAAUUGAUGGUGAUAUCAAAGGAAGGUUACUUAUUACUCUUGGACUUUGAUGAUGAGGACGAUGACAUAAAAGUUUCAGAGGAGGCUCUUGCGGAAGUAAAGAGCCCAGGAUUUGAUAAAAAUGAGAAUAUAUCGCCUCAAGCAGAAGCAGAUGAAUAUAUGGGAGAUGAAGUAGACAGUAUGUUGGAUAAAUCUGGAGUAAAGAACCCAGCAAUUGGUAAAGAUGAGAAUAUAUCGCCUCAAGUAAAAGGAGAUGAAGACAUGGGAGAUGAAAUUGACAGUAUGUUGGCUACAUCUGGAGGUCUUUUCUCCUGAGAACACGGGACUCCAGCAUCUUCGGAUUCUGCUCUUGGAGACUUGGAUAUUAAACAAAGUCAAAGAAGUAUCCUAGCCAUCAACAGUCAACCCAAACUGUUGGAAGAAGGAAUAUGUUUCUGCCUUGUCUCUCCCAAAUGAACACAAACUAUGAAAAUAUAAAACUCUGAAUCAGGAUUGGAAACUUAUGAUCAUCACUGGAAACAUUCUCCACUAUAUUAAGUACCAGGAUCUUUUACCUUGGACAGAAGUGUAUAUGGCAACUUCACAGUCUGCCUCAAGGAGACUCUGUCCUCUUCUUGCAGUAGGGCCUAUGUGUGCAGCUGAACAGAGCGUUGAGGAAACGUCAGUGAUUUUAUAACUACUUAUCAUGUUGGGAGAUUGUUGUGAUGAUUGCCUGGACUCUCAGAUGUUACACAGGCUGCAUCAUUGGACUGAAAGUGAAUGGCCCAUGUGUUGCCACUGAUGUGAGCCAUUUGCCUGUUGUGCUUCAA
This 965-nucleotide non-coding RNA is filed under the name Mus musculus (house mouse). The record is from RNAcentral. Lineage: Eukaryota; Metazoa; Chordata; Mammalia; Rodentia; Muridae.